Molecule: ribosomal RNA, 772 nt
Filed under: uncultured archaeon
Lineage: Archaea
Description: bacterial SSU rRNA
Rfam family: Archaeal small subunit ribosomal RNA
Source: RNAcentral
CGGUUGAUCCUGCCGGAGGUUACUGCUAUCGGAGUUCGAUUAAGCCAUGCGAGUCUAAAGGUUUCUUCGGAAACCUUGGCGGACUGCUCAGUAACACGUGGAUAACCUACCCUUGGGACUGGGAUAACCCCGGGAAACAGGGGAUAAUACCGGAUAGAUCAGGGAUGCUGGAAUGCGCCCUGAUCCAAAGCUCCGGCGCCCAAGGAUGGGUCUGCGGCCUAUCAGGUUGUAGUGGGUGUAACGUACCUACUAGCCGACGACGGGUACGGGUUGUGAGAGCAAGAGCCCGGAGAUGGAUUCUGAGACACGAAUCCAGGCCCUACGGGGUGCAGCAGGCGCGAAACCUUUACAAUGUGCGAAAGCAUGAUAAGGGAACUCCGAGUGCCAGCAUCUAAUGCUGGCUGUCCUUGUGCCUAAAACGCACAAGAUAGCAAGGGCCGGGUAAGACCGGUGCCAGCCGCCGCGGUAACACCGGCGGCCCGAGUGGUAGCCGCUAUUAUUGGGUCUAAAGGGUCCGUAGCCGGUUCGAUAAGUCCUCUGGGAAAUCUGGUUGCUUAACAAUCAGACUGCCAAGGGAUACUGUCGAACUUGAGACCGGGAGAGGUAAGAGGUACUUCAGGGGUAGGAGUGAAAUCUUGUAAUCCCUGGGGGACCAUCUGUGGCGAAAGGCGUCUUACCAGAACGGGUCUGACGGUGAGGGACGAAAGCUGGGGGCGCAAACCGGAUUAGAUACCCGGGUAGUCCCAGUCGUAAACGAUGCUCGCUAUGUGUC